This is a long non-coding RNA of Apis dorsata (giant honeybee), 1060 nucleotides long. RefSeq lists it as uncharacterized. The record is from RefSeq and is a predicted model, not a curated record. The transcript is spliced from 2 exons. NCBI's taxonomy places the organism in Eukaryota, Metazoa, Arthropoda, Insecta, Hymenoptera, Apidae.
AUAUAUAUACGUGGCAGAAUCCACUUGCAUAGAAAUUUCAUUUUUGUCCUCUCUCUCUGUUCAACUUGUUUAUCCUAACCUAGUGCUAUCCCUAUUAAGUUGGAAACGUCUCGAUCGAAGAUGUAUUUUCAACGAACGAGUUCUAUGCUCGCCGCCGAGUUCAACGAGUAUAAGAACGAGCGUGCUUGUGUAAUAUACGCGUUAAACAUCACAUAGAACACCCACAUGACUCGAUGCGACACGUGUGUAUCGCGAAGGAAAUAAUACACGGCAUGUGCGGUCGUUCCGGUCAUUUUUUUUUUCUUCUUUUUCUUUUCUUUUUUUUUUUAUUUAACAUUGCAUUCAACGAGUGCAUUUCUAAACGAUUACUUUUCCUUCUUCCGUCUUCCUUGUCCUUUCCUUCUUCUUUUUUUUCGGGGAGGGGGGGAAUUUCUCUCUUCUUUCUCUUUACUUUGCUCGAUUGAUCCGCAAAAACUCUUGAUUGUUUGUCGCGUUUGUAGUUCGGCGAGAGAGCAAGGCAUAUAUUUACUCUGUAAUAAAACGUGCUUCCUCCGUAAGCGGGUACGAGAAAAAAGAAAAAAAAAGUCUGGCAUCAAAUAUUUUGUCCUACGUCGCGCGUAACGAACUAUACGUAAAUAUACGAUCAAGCUUAUUCUCGAAAUACGUGUGCAUCGCGUCGUUUGAUGGAGAGAGAGAGAGAUAGAGAGAUAGAGAGAGAGAGAGAGUUAUUACGCGAAUUCGUGUCCGCCGGCAAAAAAACGAUGAAACGAGCGAAACAAAAAACGGGGUUAUAUAGAUAACGAUCGAUCGAAAGGAGCGUAUAUAUAUAUAACGUUCAGCGAGCAGAGAGAGAAGAGUGACAGAGAGAAAGGAAGAAGGGCAAAGUAGGCGUGUAGCGCAUUCUUAAACGAAAACUACAUAUUCUCACGUUGUCGGCAGGCGUAUAAAAUGAUGCAUGAGCGAGUGGGGAUCAUAGGAGGGAAAUGUUCGGGACGUAUCGAUCCAACUUAAUUACGUUUAACUCCUCGUUUAUCGCCGUAAACGUUUAUCGAAAAGAAAG